This 850-nucleotide unclassified non-coding RNA is filed under the name Hevea brasiliensis (rubber tree). Lineage: Eukaryota; Viridiplantae; Streptophyta; Magnoliopsida; Malpighiales; Euphorbiaceae. The record is from RNAcentral.
AUCAAAGUGUUUGUGGCAUUAACAACACAUCCAUUCAACUCCUGAAAAACAUAUCUGCUGAUGCGUAGUGCUUCUUUAGGAUUUCACUUACUUUAUCAAUAUCACUGAUGUCUGCUUCAAACAGCGACUGCCAACCUGAUUGACUUUUCCAAGGUUGUAAUUCUCUAUCCAUUCAGCAGCUGAAGAAUAAGAAAAUCAUCAUUAUUGUGAUUGGUGAUUUCUGUAUACCAAAUUUCCCUUGUCCCUUUUUUUACUUUUUCUGAUCCAAGUAUUUCUAUAGUUUGUCUUUAAUUUCAUUGAUUCUAUACCCAAUGCAGGAAUUAAGUUUAUUUAAUUGGCUUUGUUUGAUUAUUGAAAAUUUUUGGUUUGUUUGAAGUUUGGUUCUUGAAAAAAUUUGGGUUUUGAGAGCAAAAAUGAGAGCAUGCAGAUGGUAGGAAGAACUGAUAGACCAAGCCAAACCAAUUUAUUUUGGUUCAGUUAGCUUUUCUAAAUCACUUUGGUUUGGUUUUUCGUGAAAUAUAUUUUGGUAAUUUGGAAUUUUUGGUUUGGAUUGGAACUGAAUUAAUCGUUUGCACUCCCCUAUUAAUGUUGUGGAAAUAAGUAAUGGAUGUUUCUCAGUAAUAAAUAUACGCGUAUGUUUCUGGGUUUUCUACUAUAUUGUGCUGACUCUUUGUGGAAGAAGAAGAAAUGACUUUCUGAAACCGUUAUGCUAUUUAUUGUUAGUUGCCAUUGGUGCAAUGAGGUGUAUGGAUACAAUUGAUUAUUUACUUUUGCACUGUUCAGUUGUUGAGGUGGUCGAUGUUCUUCACUUUUUGUUUGUAGUCAGUGUGUUAUGCCUGUCAGCAAGAGA